ACGAAGGGGGCUAGCGUUGCUCGGAUUGACUGGGCGUAAAGGGCGCGUAGGCGGUUUGCAUAGUCAGACGUGAAAUUCCUGGGCUUAACCUGGGGGCUGCGUUUGAUACAUGCAGGCUUGAGUUCGGAAGAGGGUCGUGGAAUUCCCAGUGUAGAGGUGAAAUUCGUAGAUAUUGGGAAGAACACCGGUGGCGAAGGCGGCGACCUGGUCCGAUACUGACGCUGAGGCGCGAAAGCGUGGGGAGCAAACAGGA
RNAcentral lists this ribosomal RNA (253 nucleotides) under uncultured prokaryote. Its description in RNAcentral is "partial 16S ribosomal RNA". It matches the Rfam family "Bacterial small subunit ribosomal RNA", at positions 525 to 777 of the family's 1533-position model. The record is from RNAcentral.